This 767-nucleotide long non-coding RNA is filed under the name Carica papaya (papaya). RNAcentral's name for it is "long non-coding RNA (CPAP_LNC015554)". Lineage: Eukaryota; Viridiplantae; Streptophyta; Magnoliopsida; Brassicales; Caricaceae. The record is from RNAcentral.
AGGAAUAAACUCAACAUGAUCAUAGUACAAUCAUGAAUGAAAGAAACAAGCAAUCUAGUCCCAGAAAUUUUAGGAUGUUAGAUGGAUCAAAAUAUCUUUGUUAAUUAAUGUAAAAUGAAAAGAACUUCUUGUCUUAUUGAGGAAAAGUUAUACGUUUGUAUUUAGCAAAUUCAUGUAGAUCACAGUGCAAAUUGCAACUAUUUUAGCUCUUUGAAAAAAAAAAGAGAAAAACAUAACCUUAAAAUCGUAAAUGAAGGUAUCCAAUUCUUAGGUGAUGGAUGCAUACUCUAUGCUUACUGGUAGCAGGUUGUUUGAAGAGAAGGAAAAUAGGUAUUUUACUUAGGUUUCUAGGUACCUUCAAGAAGGACAAUCCUUCCAUCUCCUUAACUUGUUCAAUCAUUACCCCAAAUUCUGGUCCUGAAAUACACAUUUAGAAAAAAAAAAAUGUUACCUUGCAAUUCAUAUCAUGAGAGAGUUUACUUAUAGACAACAAGAUUAGUCAAAAUAGCUUUGGAACCUGAAGCACAUUUUAAAAAUGAAAAAGGAACUAAUCUUGACAUCUCUAAUCCCUUCUACAAUGGUCAGUAAACCAACUGCAAUAGCUAUUUUUCUGUUGCUAGAGCGGACAUAUGUUCUAAAAUUAUGUGAGAAAUGUGUCAUAUGGUCUCUAGCUUCUAAGUUGAUGAUCCAUGAAUGUGCAAAUGAUUUAUCUGAGAUAUUUAAACCAUAUAAAAGGGAAAACUUACCUGAAUGUUCCAAUGACCUAG